This 509-nucleotide ribosomal RNA is filed under the name uncultured bacterium. Its description in RNAcentral is "bacterial SSU rRNA". It matches the Rfam family "Bacterial small subunit ribosomal RNA", at positions 43 to 507 of the family's 1533-position model. The record is from RNAcentral.
CGUGCCUAAUACAUGCAAGUCGAACGCAUUGUGGUUGAAAUGAUAUGAAGAACUUGUUCAGAUUUGAUUUCAACAUUGCAAUGAGUGGCGAACGGGUGAGUAACACGUGGGAAACCUACCUCUUAGCAGGGGAUAACAUUUGGAAACAAAUGCUAAUACCGUAUAAUAAUUAAAACCGCAUGGUUUUAGUUUAAAAGAUGGUCUUGCUAUCACUAAGAGAUGGUCCCGCGGUGUAUUAGUUAGUUGGUGAGGUAAUGGCUCACCAAGACAAUGAUACAUAGCCGAGUUGAGAGACUGACCGGCCACAAUGGGACUGAGACACGGCCCAUACUCCUACGGGAGGCAGCAGUAGGGGAUCUUCCACAAUGGACGAAAGUCUGAUGGAGCAACGCCGCGUGUGUGAUGAAGGGUUUCGGCUCGUAAAACACUGUUGUAAGAGAAGAAUGACAUUGAGAGUAACUGUUCAAUGUGUGACGGUAUCUUACCAGAAAGGAACGGCUAAAUACGUG